Molecule: long non-coding RNA, 239 nt
Organism: Lolium rigidum
Lineage: Eukaryota; Viridiplantae; Streptophyta; Magnoliopsida; Poales; Poaceae
Exons: 3
Source: RefSeq, a predicted model, not a curated record
AGCUAAGAUCACGUGUGCACAGAUGAACUGCAAAUGACAAUCAAUUAGGAAGUUUGGACAUUUGCGGCAAGCUGUUAGCCAUCGUGGCCCGAAGCACCAGAGACUGUCAUUGAGCUCCUCAAAUCACUAGCUGAUGAGGGAAGCAGGGGUACAUGGAUGCUAGGAUGGAGGCAACAAAGAAUUGUUCUCAGUUGGAAGCUUUCCCUUGAGUCUCGGACAGAUGCUUACUGAAGUACGAC